UUUUUCUUCCAAUUAUCAAGAAACUGGGCCCCGUAAAGGCUUCAGCGUUCCCGUUAAGGUCGCCGUCGACCGCCACCAGCUCGGCCCAGUUAUUGUCCCUUCUAUCUCUGGCGAUGGAGGCGUUCAGGGUCUGAGAUGGCAUGCAAAGCGCCUCAAGAUAGAUGAAGAUGGUGACGUGGCAGAUGAAUUCCUUGAAGAGGUUUUACCAGAGACAUCAUCCUGUGUUGAUGACCACCAUAAACCAUUGCCGAGGUUUGAAGUGAAGUAUAGUGCCCGACCUGCAAAAAUCAAGAACCAGGUGAUUUCCCAUGAUGGGAAAUUCCAAGUGUGUGUAGAAUAUCAAGGUAGAUUACAAUGGGUGUGAUGUAUUUUGACAUCAAAGUUGAGGUUUGUGGGUUGGGUUUCACUCUUAAGUCUAUAGCACAAGAAUUAGCUUGCACGAGCCAACAAUAUAAUACUUGUUUAGAUCAGAUUUGUGGUUUUCCAAUGUGGCAUGAAAUGAACUGUUGUAACAAUGCACCCAAAUUGUAUUAGUAUCUGCAUUACAUAGGCC
RNAcentral lists this unclassified non-coding RNA (553 nucleotides) under Hevea brasiliensis (rubber tree). The record is from RNAcentral. Lineage: Eukaryota; Viridiplantae; Streptophyta; Magnoliopsida; Malpighiales; Euphorbiaceae.